Molecule: non-coding RNA, 2594 nt
Organism: Callithrix jacchus (white-tufted-ear marmoset)
Lineage: Eukaryota; Metazoa; Chordata; Mammalia; Primates; Cebidae
Source: RefSeq, a predicted model, not a curated record
CUGCUGACAUCACAAACCACACAUGGCUUGGUGUCCUGUCAUGUCGUUUACACAAAGACUCUCCAUCCUUACUGCAGCCUUCUUCUGCACGUUCGCCUUUGGAGGCCCCAGGCUAGUGACAUUUCAGCGAAAGGGUUGACAAGGUCUCACUCGGUGGCGCAGGCUGGACUGCAGUAGCACCAUCAUAGUUCAUUAUACCCUUGAACUUCCACCCUCAAGCCAUCUGCCUUGGCCUCCCAAAGUGCUGGAAUUACAUGUAUGAGUCACCACAUCUGAUCCCAUUCAUUCCCUUUUUUUUCUUUCUUUCUUUCUUUUUUUUUUUUUUUUUUUUGAUGGAGUCUCACUCUGUUGUCCAGGCUGGAGUGCAGUGAGGUGAUCUCCACUCACUGCAACCUCCACUUCCCAUGUUCAAGCAAUUCUCCUGUCUCAGCCUCCCAAGUAGCUGGGAUUACAGGUGCACACUGCCAUGUCCAGUUAAUAUUUUGUAUUUUUCAGUAGAGACGGGGUUUUACCAUGUUGCCCAGGCUGGUCUCGAACUCCUGACCUCAGGUGACCCACCCGCCUCUGCCUCCCAGGGUGCUGGGAUUACAGGUGUGAGUCACCUCUCCUGGAAGGUCUGGUUCAUUCUUUAAAGGAUUUAAUGAAGGCUGAGCAAGUAGCUGGCAUUGAGCUUCAUGCAGAAGAAAGGCGGUGUGAGCCCAUACUGGGAAGGUGGCCAUCUGCAAGCCAGAAAGGGAGCCCGAACUGAAUCAGCUGGCACCUUGAUCUUGGACUUUCCAGCCUCCAGAACUGUGAGAAACAAAUUUAUCUUAUGUAAGCCACUCAGUGUAGAUAUUUUGUUGUGGCAGCCCAAGCAGAGUAAGACAAAUUAGACAGAAUAUAGCACAAAAGAAACAAGGAGUUUAGAUAGAAUUUACACUCACAGUGUCACGAGUCAUUUCAGGAUCACUUGUGCAAUUGAAGGUGUAAUGGUGUGACCUUUAACCAGUAAAUAACCCUUUGCGGCACCUCUUAGAAUAAUUGAGGCUUCAAGAAUACUCUUAACCUGAGAGUACAAUAAAUGCUCAAGAUGAAUGAAUCCCUUUUACAGCUUUUCUGUUAUUUUCUCUAAAGUCCUGAAUGGUUGAGGCUCAGAGGAGAAAGAAUUAUCUAGUUACUACAGGUAAAAAAUGCUUUAUGAAAGUUUCCUACUGAUCACAAUGAAGGAGUCACAUGUAGCUGGGUGCCUAGAACAUGGCCAUGACCUGUUGCUAUUCAAGCAAAAUAUCAAAUGUUUCCAAUAACAGCUUCAGCGACCUACCACAACUGUUUAUACUCUUGGUCUCCAAAGUAGGCCAUGAGAAAUAAAUAUUAGAGCUUCCACGUAUAUUUUUUAUUAAAAAAGAAACAGCCUCUGCAAAUAAACAGAUUGAAAUUGCUACCCUCAUUUGCCCACAGGUCAGCUGGUCUCUUUCUCUCCCUUUCAGAGGUGUCCUGAGGAAAUAUCAGGAGAUUCACAGCAUAGAGGGGCUAACAUGUGGUCUUUACACUUCUUUCAUUUCCACUGUGUUGCCUCUUAUUGAUGCUUAUGUGUGUUCACUUAAGGAACUGAAGAUUCUAUUAUCCAAUUUUAACCAAGGAAAAGUAUCAGAAUGGAAAAGUGGCUCACAAGGAUUUCUGCAGAGAAGACAGUACUGGUAAUACAAGUUUAAGCAACACAGGAAAUCAGUGUAGCUGACACGUUUCCUACUGUAUUCUUAGCCUAAUGGGAGAGGUUAGCAACACUGAUGAUCUUUCUAAUUCAGACUUAAAAGAAAUCAGCUCCUCCCUUCCAUUGAGAUAUAUGUUUACAUUUACUUUUAUUAAUGAUGAACCUUGCCUUGAAUAUAUAUAUUGUAUUUUUUUUGUUAAAAACAUUUAUUCUGAUACAUUCUAUCAUAAGUUAGUACAAAUUCCACUCUGCUACAAAUUCAUCUGUGAUGAUCCUUGUGCCAUCCAACUGGCAUUUGAACGAUGUUUCAUCUCUUGAGAUGUAGGCCAAUGAUAAUUUGAAACAUGUGGCAAGAUAUUAAUAAAUAUGAUAUGUUUCAUCAUUAAAUGAUGUUUCAAUGUUACAUGUGUGUAUGUUUUAUAGUGUACAAUGGUGGGUAUAAUAAAUAAGCAAUCCUAUUAACAAGUUAACAAAUGAAUAAAUAUUGAGAUAUAUAAUGAAUAUUUCUAACUGAUGCAGUGCAUUUUCAGAAAAGUUUGGAAACCACUGAUUUACAUAUACAGAGGUAAAAUAAUUUUUUAGAACAUAAAACCCUAGUCUUGAAGGAGAACAAAUAAAUCCAACUUUGUGUGUGUGUGUGUGUGUGUGUGUGACAAUCUCACUUUGUUGACCAGGCUAGAGUGCGGUGGUGUGACAGCUCACUGCAACCUCUGCCUCCCAGGUUCAAGAGAGUCUCAUGCCUCAGCCUCCUGAGCAGCUGGGACAACAGGCACAGCUAAUUUUUGCAUUUUUAGUAGAGACAGAGUUUCAUCAUGUUAGCCAGGCUGGUCUUGAACUCCUGGCCUCAAGUGAUCUGCCUACCUUAGCCUCCCAAAGUGCUGGGAUUACAGAUGUAAGCCACCAU